AACGCACAUUGCGCCCAUUAGUAUUCUAGUGGGCAUGCCUGUUCGAGCGUCAUUUCAACCCUUAAGCCCUGUUGCUUAGUGUUGGGAAUCUAGGUUUUAGGGCCUAGUUCCUCAAAGUUAUUGGCGGAGUUAGGGUAUACUCUGAGCGUAGUAGUGUUCUUCUCGCUUUUGCAGUAGCCUUGACGGCUUGCCGUAAACCCCCUAUAUUUUCGUGGUUGACCUCGAAUCAGGUAGGAAUACCCGCUGAACUUAA
Molecule: unclassified non-coding RNA, 253 nt
Filed under: uncultured Xylariales
Lineage: Eukaryota; Fungi; Ascomycota; Sordariomycetes; Xylariales
Description: sequence contains 5.8S rRNA gene, ITS2, 28S rRNA gene
Source: RNAcentral